This 379-nucleotide unclassified non-coding RNA is filed under the name soil metagenome. RNAcentral describes it as "partial contains 5.8S ribosomal RNA, internal transcribed spacer 2, and large subunit ribosomal RNA". The stretch from base 1 to 120 matches the Rfam family "5.8S ribosomal RNA", at positions 35 to 154 of the family's 154-position model. The record is from RNAcentral.
GAUGAAGAACGUAGCGAAAUGCGAUAAGUAAUGCGAAUUGCAGAAUUCAGUGAGUCAUCGAAUCUUUGAACGCACAUUGCGCCCGCCAGUAUUCUGGCGGGCAUGCCUGUUCGAGCGUCAUUUCAACCCUCAAGCCCCAGCGGCCUGGUGUUGGGGACCGGCGACCUCGCCCGAGCCCGCCCUCCGGGGCGCGUGCCCGGUGCGUCCGCCGCCCCCGAAAUGAAUUGGCGGCCUCGUCGCGGCCUCCUCUGCGUAGUAGCACAACCUCGCAAGCGGGAGCGCGACGCGGCCACUGCCGUAAAACGCCCAACUUUUUUAGAGUUGACCUCGGAUCAGGUAGGAAUACCCGCUGAACUUAAGCAUAUCAAUAAGCGGAGGA